RNAcentral lists this small RNA (1044 nucleotides) under uncultured fungus. RNAcentral describes it as "eukaryotic LSU rRNA". The stretch from base 612 to 1044 matches the Rfam family "Eukaryotic large subunit ribosomal RNA", at positions 1 to 429 of the family's 3401-position model. Lineage: Eukaryota; Fungi. The record is from RNAcentral.
UCCGUAGGUGAACCUGCGGAAGGAUCAUUCAUAAUCAAGUGUUUUUAUGGCACUUUCAAAAAUCCAUAUCCACCUUGUGUGCAAUGUCAUCUCACUGGAGGUCAACGGCUGUAAAAAUCCGUUGGUCACCUUUGGGAUUUAUAUCUACUCAGAACUUUAGUGAUUUUGUCUAAAACAUAUUAUGAAUACUUAAUUCAAAAUACAACUUUCAACAACGGAUCUCUUGGCUCUCGCAUCGAUGAAGAACGCAGCGAAAUGCGAUACGUAAUGUGAAUUGCAGAAUUCAGUGAAUCAUCGAAUCUUUGAACGCAUAUUGCGCUCUCUGGUAUUCCGGAGAGCAUGCUUGUUUGAGUAUCAGUAAACACCUCAACUCCCCUUUCUUUUUUGAAAUGGGAGCUGGACUUGAGUGAUCCCAACGCUUUUCUCACCGAAAAGUGGCGGGUUACUUGAAAUGCAGGUGCAGCUGGACUUUUCUCUGAGCUAAAAGCAUAUCUAUUUAGUCUGCCUAAAAAACAGAUUAUUACCUUUGCUGCAGCUAACAUAAAGGAGAUUAGUUCUUGUGCUGACUGAUGCAGGAUUCACAGAGACAGCUUCGGCUGGCUUUGUAAACUCGAUCUCAAAUCAAGUAAGACUACCCGCUGAACUUAAGCAUAUCAAUAAGCGGAGGAAAAGAAACUAACAAGGAUUCCCCUAGUAACGGCGAGUGAAGCGGGAUGAGCUCAAAUUUAAAAUCUGGCUGGUUUACUAGUCCGAAUUGUAGUUUAAAGAAGCGUUUUCGGUGGCAGCCUGGGUAUAAAUCCUUUGGAACAGGGUAUCAUAUAGGGUGAGAAUCCCGUCUUUGACUCAGUGCAUGCUACUAUGUGAUACGUUUUCAAAGAGUCGAGUUGUUUGGGAAUGCAGCUCAAAAUGGGUGGUAAAUUUCAUCUAAAGCUAAAUAUUGGCGAGAGACCGAUAGCGAACAAGUACCGUGAGGGAAAGAUGAAAAGAACUUUGAAAAGAGAGUUAAACAGUGCGUGAAAUUGUUGAAAGGGAAACGCUUGAAGU